AGAGUUUGAUCAUGGCUCAGGACGAACGCUGGCGGCGUGCUUAACACAUGCAAGUCGAACGGAAAGGCCCUUCGGGGUACUCGAGUGGCGAACGGGUGAGUAACACGUGGGUGAUCUGCCCUGCACUUUGGGAUAAGCCUGGGAAACUGGGUCUAAUACCGAAUAUGACCACGCUCUUCAUGGGGUGUGGUGGAAAGCUUUUGCGGUGUGGGAUGGGCCCGCGGCCUAUCAGCUUGUUGGUGGGGUAAUGGCCUACCAAGGCGACGACGGGUAGCCGGCCUGAGAGGGUGACCGGCCACACUGGGACUGAGAUACGGCCCAGACUCCUACGGGAGGCAGCAGUGGGGAAUAUUGCACAAUGGGCGCAAGCCUGAUGCAGCGACGCCGCGUGAGGGAUGACGGCCUUCGGGUUGUAAACCUCUUUCACCAGGGACGAAGCGCAAGUGACGGUACCUGGAGAAGAAGCACCGGCCAACUACGUGCCAGCAGCCGCGGUAAUACGUAGGGUGCGAGCGUUGUCCGGAAUUACUGGGCGUAAAGAGCUCGUAGGUGGUUUGUCGCGUUGUUCGUGAAAACUCACAGCUUAACUGUGGGCGUGCGGGCGAUACGGGCAGACUAGAGUACUGCAGGGGAGACUGGAAUUCCUGGUGUAGCGGUGGAAUGCGCAGAUAUCAGGAGGAACACCGGUGGCGAAGGCGGGUCUCUGGGCAGUAACUGACGCUGAGGAGCGAAAGCGUGGGGAGCGAACAGGAUUAGAUACCCUGGUAGUCCAA
RNAcentral lists this ribosomal RNA (773 nucleotides) under uncultured bacterium. RNAcentral's name for it is "bacterial SSU rRNA". It matches the Rfam family "Bacterial small subunit ribosomal RNA", at positions 8 to 798 of the family's 1533-position model. The record is from RNAcentral.